This 518-nucleotide ribosomal RNA is filed under the name uncultured bacterium. RNAcentral describes it as "bacterial SSU rRNA". It matches the Rfam family "Bacterial small subunit ribosomal RNA", at positions 373 to 882 of the family's 1533-position model. The record is from RNAcentral.
GGGGGGAACCCUGAUCCAGCCAUGCCGCGUGUGUGAAGAAGGCCUUAUGGUUGUAAAGCACUUUAAGCGAGGAGGAGGCUACUUUAGUUAAUACCUAGAGAUAGUGGACGUUACUCGCAGAAUAAGCACCGGCUAACUCUGUGCCAGCAGCCGCGGUAAUACAGAGGGUGCGAGCGUUAAUCGGAUUUACUGGGCGUAAAGCGUGCGUAGGCGGCUUAUUAAGUCGGAUGUGAAAUCCCCGAGCUUAACUUGGGAAUUGCAUUCGAUACUGGUGAGCUAGAGUAUGGGAGAGGAUGGUAGAAUUCCAGGUGUAGCGGUGAAAUGCGUAGAGAUCUGGAGGAAUACCGAUGGCGAAGGCAGCCAUCUGGCCUAAUACUGACGCUGAGGUACGAAAGCAUGGGGAGCAAACAGGAUUAGAUACCCUGGUAGUCCAUGCCGUAAACGAUGUCUACUAGCCGUUGGGGCCUUUGAGGCUUUAGUGGCGCAGCUAACGCGAUAAGUAGACCGCCUGGGGAGUA